This 979-nucleotide long non-coding RNA is filed under the name Physcomitrium patens. RNAcentral's name for it is "long non-coding RNA (PPAT_LNC007802)". Lineage: Eukaryota; Viridiplantae; Streptophyta; Bryopsida; Funariales; Funariaceae. The record is from RNAcentral.
CGAGGAUUAUUGAAGUUUAAGUAGGUUGGGAUCUCAAAAAAUAGAAUUUUAGGCCUAAUGAGUUUUUAAGAUUUCUUGCAAUCUAUCAAUUGGAUUGGAGUGACAAUUAUGUGUAUAGGUAGUAGACUUGUUUUUCUAUGUAUUUAAGAAAUUUGAAAUCAAUCGAACAAUUCAAUAAGGAGAUAUUAACAUUGAAAAUUCAACAUUUAGGUUGAAGAAGGAGGCCGGCCAACAUCUCACCAAAUAUUAGGAUCGAUCUUCUUUUGGUGAGUUUAAUCUUAUUUAAAAUUUUUGUGCUUGUAAUCAACUUAAUUAUAAAGAAGUGUUCAAAAUUUGAGUUAAAAUCAAUGAUUAAUUCAUUAGUUAUUGAGGUUUAAAUCUACUAUAGGAAUUAUUUAGAUUAUUUAGGAUUUGGUUAGAGUAUGUUUAGGAUUUGAUUAGGAUUCAAUUAAAAUUUGUUUAGAUUUAUUUAAAAAUUAGUUAAGAUUUAUUAAGAUUUUAUUAGGAUUUGAUUAAAAUUUGUUUAGGAUUUGAAUAGGAUUUAUUUAGAGUUGAUUAAGAUUUGGUUAAAAUUUGACUAAGAUUUGAUUAGGGUUUGGUUAGGCUUUGAUUAAGAUUUGGUUAGGAUUUGAUUAGGUUUUGGUUAGGAUUUGAUUAAUAUUUGGUUAAGAUUUGACUAGGAUUUGGUUAGGAUUUAGUUAGAAUUUGAUUAGAUUUUGUUUAGAAUUUGGUUAUGCUUUGGUUGAGAUUUGAUUAAGAUUUAGUUAAAAUUUGAUUAGAAUUUAUUUAGGAUUUGGUUAGGAUUUGACUAGGAUUUAAUUAAGAUUUCUACUUUAGUAUAUUUUUGAAUUCCUAUGUUAUUUCUUUAUGAUUUCUUUAAAAAAUAUUUAAGAAUAUUUUAUAUUUUUUAUAUAAUUAUUUUACAAUUUCGAUUGAAUUUGAUUGAUGUUUGAUUGUACUUACUAAUUUUUAAUUGUAA